This 254-nucleotide ribosomal RNA is filed under the name uncultured bacterium. RNAcentral's name for it is "partial 16S ribosomal RNA". It matches the Rfam family "Bacterial small subunit ribosomal RNA", at positions 524 to 776 of the family's 1533-position model. The record is from RNAcentral.
UACGUAGGGUGCGAGCGUUGUCCGGAAUUAUUGGGCGUAAAGAGCUCGUAGGCGGUGUGUCACGUCGGCCGUGAAAACCUGCAGCUUAACUGUGGGCGUGCGGUCGAUACGGGCAUCACUGGAGUUCGGCAGGGGAGACUGGAAUUCCUGGUGUAGCGGUGAAAUGCGCAGAUAUCAGGAGGAACACCGGUGGCGAAGGCGGCGAUCUGGGAAGAUACUGACGCUGAGGUGCGAAAGCGUGGGGAGCAAACAGG